GACGAACGCUGACGGCGUGCUUAACACAUGCAAGUCGAACGGUGAAGCGCCUUCCUUUUUGGUGGGUGUGGAUGAGUGGCGAACGGGUGAGUAACACGUGAGUAACCUGCCCCCUUCUUCUGGAUAACCGCAUGAAAGUGUGGCUAAUACGGGAUAUUCUGGGUCUGUCGCAUGAUGGGUCUGGGAAAGAUAUUGUUUCGGUGGGGGAUGGGCUCGCGGCCUAUCAGCUUGUUGGUGGGGUGAUGGCCUACCAAGGCGGUGACGGGUAGCCGGCCUGAGAGGGUGGACGGUCACACUGGGACUGAGACACGGCCCAGACUCCUACGGGAGGCAGCAGUGGGGAGUAUUGCACAAUGGGCGCAAGCCUGAUGCAGCGACGCCGCGUGAGGGAUGGAGGCCUUCGGGUUGUGAACCUCUUUCGCCAGUGAAGCAGGCCUGCCUCGUUUGUGGGUGGGUUGACGGUAGCUGGAUAAGAAGCGCCGGCUAACUACGUG
RNAcentral lists this ribosomal RNA (494 nucleotides) under uncultured bacterium. RNAcentral describes it as "partial 16S ribosomal RNA". It matches the Rfam family "Bacterial small subunit ribosomal RNA", at positions 28 to 507 of the family's 1533-position model. The record is from RNAcentral.